GCCGAUGUGGCGAAAUGGCAGACGCAACGGACUUAAAAUCCGUUUCCGGUAACCCGGAGUGCGGGUUCGAGUCCCGCCAUCGGCA
This 85-nucleotide transfer RNA is filed under the name Chthoniobacterales bacterium. RNAcentral describes it as "tRNA-Leu". It matches the Rfam family "tRNA". From Rfam's summary of the family: Transfer RNA (tRNA) molecules are approximately 80 nucleotides in length. Their secondary structure includes four short double-helical elements and three loops (D, anti-codon, and T loops). The record is from RNAcentral. Lineage: Bacteria; Pseudomonadati; Verrucomicrobiota; Spartobacteria; Chthoniobacterales. RNAcentral also lists the same sequence under 1 other name.